CCUACGGGUGGCAGCAGUGAGGAAUAUUGGUCAACGGACGAGAGUCUGAACCCUCCCCUUCUCUUUCCUUCUUCCUUCCCUCUUUUUUUUCCCCUUCUUUUCUCCCGGAAUAAAACGAGGCACGUGUGCCUUUUUGCAUGUACUUUAUGAAUAAGGAUCGGCUAACUCCGUGCCAGCAGCCGCGGUAAUACGGAGGAUCCGAGCGUUAUCCGGAUUUAUUGGGUUUAAAGGGAGCGUAGAUGGGGUGUUAAGUCAGUUGUGAAAGUUUGCGGCUCAACCGUAAAAUUGCAAUUGAUACUGGCAGUCUUGAGUACAGUUGAGGUAGGCGGAAUUCGUGGUGUAGCGGUGAAAUGCUUAGAUAUCACGAAGAACCCCGAUUGCGAAGGCAGCUUACUAAACUGUGACUGACAUUGAUGCUCGAAAGUGUGGGUAUCAAACAGGAUUAGAUACCCUAGUAGUC
RNAcentral lists this ribosomal RNA (460 nucleotides) under uncultured bacterium. Its description in RNAcentral is "partial 16S ribosomal RNA". It matches the Rfam family "Bacterial small subunit ribosomal RNA", at positions 338 to 795 of the family's 1533-position model. The record is from RNAcentral.